CUCACUUUGCAACUUACCUCUGUUUUAGAAAAACAGAUUUCUUUGGUCUCUCUUACAGAAGCAGUUCCUCUCUUCCUCUCAAAUCUCCAGCUAGAGCUCCGCUAGGGCAUACGACCUCCUCCUACCUCCAAGCUAACAAAAGCAGCUCGUAACUCUCUGCUCUCUAAUAUAGUUCCGGAGCUGCUAUUUUCGUAGAUUGCGGGUCUGUUGCCUUUUGGUGCUCAAACAAAGAAGAGAGGGAGGUUCGAGAUGGACCAGGGAGACGCAGCAGUGCAGCUUAGAUCUUCUUGUCUGGAUGUCUUAGGAGUAGUUUCAUGGCCAUGAGGCCUUUUGUAUUAGUUGCCUUGAGGGCAACCCUUUUGCAAGACUGUUAAACUUUUAGACUUGUGUUUUCUUAUGGCACGGUUGUAUGUCCAGGUUUUCCUCUAAGUACUCCUAUGGAUGACUGUACUAGUUACUUUUCGUACGUUUCAUGUUGAUCUGGUUGGUUCU
Long non-coding RNA from Vigna unguiculata (cowpea), 492 nucleotides. RefSeq lists it as uncharacterized. Lineage: Eukaryota; Viridiplantae; Streptophyta; Magnoliopsida; Fabales; Fabaceae. The record is from RefSeq and is a predicted model, not a curated record.